Molecule: ribosomal RNA, 443 nt
Filed under: uncultured bacterium
Lineage: Bacteria
Description: partial 16S ribosomal RNA
Rfam family: Bacterial small subunit ribosomal RNA
Source: RNAcentral
CCUACGGGAGGCAGCAGUGGGGAAUAUUGGGCAAUGGGCGCAAGCCUGACCCCGCAACGCCGCGUGCAGGAAGAAGGCUUUCGGGUUGUAAACUUCUUUUCUGAGGGACGAAGAAAGUGACGGUACCUCAGGAAUAAGCCACGGCUAACUACGUGCCAGCAGCCGCGGUAAUACGUAGGUGGCAAGCGUUAUCCGGCUUUAGUGGGGGUAAAGGGCGUGUAGGCGGGAAAGCAAGUCAGAUGUGAAAAUUAAGGGAUCAACCCUGAGCCUGCAUUUGAAACUGUUUUUCUUGAGUGCUGGAGAGGCAAUCGGAAGUGCGGGUGUAGCGGUGAAAUGCGUAGAUAUACGGAGGAACACCAGUGGCGAAGGCGGAUUGCUGGACAGUAACUGACGCUGAGGCGCGAAAGCGUGGGGAGCAAACAGGAUUAGAUACCCUUGUAGUC